GUUGUUUACCACAAAAACUACAAUGACCAUGAAGCCUUGCGCGGGCACGAGCGCACAUAUGUGAAUUUUUCUACAAAUCGUUUUUGGCGAUUCUGUUCGGGGCGGGGGGGAUGUUGAUCACGACCGGAAUAUCGGUGUAGGACAAUCCAAGAUUUGGCACAGCCAUACCACCGUCCUUUUAUAAUUUCUGCAUCUCGUGGGUGACUUCUCGUUCGUAGAAAACAACGGCAGCGAGGCUCACGCAUGCAGCAUGAUUGUGAAAGACUCCAUUUCUAUCCACAAAGAAACAUUACAGAGGCAAUGCCAUGCUGCCUGGCCUGCUGAGUUCCGCUUUGUCAGGUGUGGCCGCAGGUGAAAGGAACAGAACGAGGUUUCACAUUUGAGGACAGGUCUCAGUUUGUUGAUACGGUACUCACACAUCACGGAGGCCGCGGCUGAGGAGGGUAAAAAAGGAUCAGCCAUGAUUGAAUGGCAGAGCAGACCUGAUGGGCCAGAUGACUGAAUACUGCCCCUACGUCUUAUGGGUCGGCUGGGCAGUGGUGAUGGGCCGGCACCAGUUGUAUUUCUCCACAAUGUUCUGUGGCAAGUGGUUUUUCACCAGCUUGGGUCUCCAGUUGAAGCUCUGACAGAAUUUGAGGGCAGCUGACUCAACGUUGAUUCGUUGAAUGGUCCCAGGCAUCAUUGAUGCAUUUUGCUGGUAAGGCAAACACACGGGGUGCUGGAACAACCCAGACACACACUCCAGGUCAGCUCUUUCGACUGCACCCCUGUUUUCAUUCUGCCUGCUCAGAGAGAGGAGCAGUAAAGAACCAGAGAGAAUGAGAGAUCACAGAAAAUGAUUCAUUUCAGUUUCGGGAGUCAUAGUUCAAAGUAAAUUCAUCAUCCAACCUGAAUCUGUGAGACAGUAAUUCUGUGGUAAUUUAUGAUUGGUAUGAUGUUUCUGCAAUUCCAGGGCUAUUUUAUGAAUCUGUAACGUGAGAAAGUCUGCAGAUGCUGGAAAUCCAAAGCAACGCACACAAAAUGCUGGAGGAACUCAGCAGGUCAGACUGCAUCUAUGGAAAUGAAUAAGCAGUCAACUUUUCGGGCCGAGACCCUUCAUCAGGACUUUAAUGAUGCUCUAAUUUUAUAAUUCUACAAUUAUACCAUGAUUGUAUAACUGUGAUUUCAUGAAUCAAUUAUUCAGAAUCAGAACCGUGAAAUUUUUUGCUUUGUGUCAGCAGUUCAAUGCGAUUCAUAAUCAUACAAACUGUGAAUUACAGUAAGUGUUGUGCAUUUAAUAUUUCAAUAGUAUUUGUGAAGUUUUGUACAUACAGAAUAUAUAUAUAUAUACUCCUCCACGCUGGCAUGCUUGCCACAGUCAUGGUCAGCAACAGUAACUGUGAGUCUUUUCAAGUUAGAUCAGGAGUAAAACAGGGAUGCGUGAUUGCCCCAACUUUGUUCACCAUCUUCAUUGCGACAAUCAUCCGCAUUAUCAAGGACGACCUACGCCCAGGAAUCGAAAUUGUCUACAGAACAGAUGGCAGACUUUUCAAUCUUGCCCGUCUCAAGUCCAAAACGAAGACAUCCAUGAGUUCCCUCACCGAGUUCCAAUACGCAGAUGACAACAGUGUUGCAGCUCUUUCAGAAAACCACUGACAACAGAUUCUGACUGCCUUCAACCGUGCGUACACGAAACUUGGACUUACCAUCAAUUCCAAGAAGACUCAGAUCAUCUAUCAACCGUCACCAAUUGGGUCAAAUCAGAUAGAACCCUCAUUUCAACUUGGCGAAACAACCCUGGAAAAAGUGGACCACUUUCUGUAUCCUGGAAGUCACCUCUCCUCCAAUGUCGACCUUAAUGACAAGAUCCAACAUCGUCUUAAAUGUGCUGGAACAGCUUUUGGACGUCUCCGAACAAGAGUCUUUCAUGAUCGUGACAUCCAAACAGACACCAACAUGUUAGUGUACAAAGCAGUGGUAAUCCCAACGCUCCUGUAUGCAUCAGAAACCUGGACAACAUACCAACGACAUCUGAAGGCACUUGAAAAGGUCCAUCAACGCUGUCUUUGAAACAUCUUAAAUAUCAGCUGGGAAGAUAGAAGAACCAAUGUCAGUGUACUAAAUGAAGCAAAAACACCAAGCAUUGAAGCCUACGUCAUCAAGAACCAACUAAGAUGGAGCGGUCAUAUUGUUCGGAUGAAAGAUGAACGUCUGCCGAAACAAAUCUUCUACUCCCAGCUUAAAGAAGGCAAACGUAAAAGAGGCGGACAACAGAAGAGAUUGAAAGACAUCUUAAAAGCCAACAUAAAGAAAUGUAAUAUCAACAUCAACAAUUGGGAAACCAAUGCCAAGGACAGGAAACUCUGGCAAGCCAUCAUCCGAGAAGGAACAUCGACUUUCGAAGCCAACAGAUGUGCAGAAUUAGAAGAAAAGAGAAGAAAAUGGAAAGAGAGGCAGCAACAACCAAAGCCCGAUCUGCCAUCUGGAACUACCUGUCCUGAAUGCGGAAGAACUUUCAAAGCCGAGAUUGGACUCGUAAGCCACUUGAGAGCCCAUAAGUAGAUCAACAGAAUGAAGACCAUCAUCCUUGACCUCGAGGGAUAGCCACGACGACGAUAUAUAUAUAUAGGUUGAUUAAGAAUUCUUGUUCGUUUUAAAUAAUUAAUUAUGGGUUAUGUGUAAAAUUAUUUUAAAUUUGUACGUCAUCACGCUACCACAUGAUACGUACGUGCCUCACUUUCCCACAUUCCUGAACCCCCCCCCAAUCUUCCUUUGAAUUAGUUCAACGGUUUGAAGGUACAAAACAUAACAUUGAUGACAAAGUAUUUUUAAAACUUAGAGGGCUAUGGGUAACCCUAGGUAAUUUCUAAAGUAAGUACAUGUUUGGCACAGCAUUGUGGGCCGAAGGGCCUGUAUUGUACUGUAGGUUUCUAUAUUUCUAUGUUUCUAAAAUGAACCCAACACGACCUGUGAAAGUGCAGCGAGACUUUCAAAAUAAAAAAAACACUGCGGGGAAGGUCAAAUUUGAAAGAAGCAGCUAAGUACAUGCAGAAUCGUCAAUCUUGUUUUUAAAAGGGGUCAUUAAUGGAAGAAUUCAUGGGUACAUAAAGAAUGAGUGAUAAUAAUUGUUUAAAAAUGAAAAUGGGUGGCUACAUCAGAAAAAUUGAUGAGUUUGAUUAAACAAUAGAUAAUUGGCGCAUGUAUACUGAAAUAUUGGAACAGUAUUUUGAAGCAAAUGAAAUAGCCAAUGAAAAGUGAUUGCCAAUUUUGCUGAGUGCAUUGGGAUUAAAGGCACAGAGUUUGCUUCAAAGUUUGACUGCUCUAGCCAAACUAGCAGAAACUAGCUUUAAUGAUAUUGUCAAUAUGAUGCAGGAACACGUAGAAACAAAGCCAUUGUUGAUUGCAGAAUGUUUUACAUAGAACAUAGAAGAGUACAGCACAGGAACAGGUUAUUCGGCCCACAAUGUUGUGUCAAAUCAGCUGAAAAGCAAGUCUAAAUCAACUAAAACAUUAAUACCCCCUACCUACACCAUGUCCAUAUCCCUUCAUCAUCCUUACAUCCAUGUGCCUAUUGAAAUGUCCCUUAAAAGCCUUUAAUAAUUUAUACUUUAUUGUCGCAAAACAAUUGAUACUAGAACAUGCAAUCAUCACAGCGAUAUUUGAUUCUGUGCUUUCCACUCCCUGGAUUACAAAUAUUAAAUAUGAAAAAUAGUAAAAAUUAGUAAAUAUUAAAAAUUUAAAUUAUAAAUCAUAAAUAGAAAAUAGAAAAAUGGAAAGUAAGGUAGUGCAAAAAAACCGAGAGGCAGGUCCAGAUAUUUGGAGGGUAUGGUCCAGAUCCGGGUCAGGAUCCAUUCAGCAGUCUUAUCACAGUUGGAAAGAAGCUAUUCCCAAAUCUGGCCAUACGAGGCUUCAAGCUCCUGAGCCUUCUCCCGGAGGGAAGAGGGACGAAAAGUGUGUUGGCUGGGUGGGUCGUGUCCUUGAUUAUCCUGGCAGCACUGCUCCGACAGCAUGCGGUGUAAAGUGAGUCCAUGGACAGAAGAUUGGUUUGUAUGAUGUGCUGCACCGUGUUCACGAUCUUCUGCAGCUUCUUUCGGUCUUGGACAGGACAGCUUCCAUACCAGGUUGUGAUGCACCCUAGAAGAAUGCUUUCUACAGUGCAUCUAUAAAAAAUAGUGAGGGUUUUAGGGGACAGGCCAAAUUUCUUUAAUUAUUUGCCUCUGCCAUCAUAUUAGGCAGCACAUUCUCUGCAUCCACAACUCUGAGUAAAAACUUAACCCUCACUUCCCCCUUGAACCUACCCCCUCUUACCUUCAAUGCAUGCUUUUUGGUAUUAGACAUUUCAACCCUGGGAAACAGACACUCUCUGCCCACUCUAUCUAUGUCUCUCAUAAUCUUGUAAAUCUAUCAGAUCUCCCCUCAGCCUCUGAUGCACCAGAGAAAACAACUCAAGUUUAUCCAACCCCUCAUGAUAGCACAUGCCCUCUAAACCAGGCAGCAUCCUGGUAGACCUCUUCUACUCCCUCUCCAAAGCCUCAACUUCCUUCUGAGAGUGGGGCAAACAGAACUGUAUGCAAUACUCCAGAUGUGGCCUAACCAGAGUUUUAUAAAGUUGCAACAUAACCUCUUGACUUUUGAACUCAAUUCCUCAACUAGUAAAAGCAAGGCACAAUUAGAGAUUGGUUGGUAUGAUGUUAUGGGCAUCACUGAGUCAUGGCUGAAAGAAAGCCAUAAUUGGGAUCUUAAUAUCAAUGAAUAUACUUCGUAUUGAAAGGACAGGUAAGAAGGCAUAGGCUGUGGUGUGGCUCUGUUGGUAAGGGACGGAAUUACAUCUUUAGAAAGAAGUGAUAUGGGUCAGAGAAUGGUGAAUCAUUGAGGGUGGAGUUAAGGAACUGCAUGGGUAAAAAAAAAACAUUAUGGGGAUCAUAUAUAGGCCUCCAAAUAGUAGUCAAGAUGUGGGGUGGAGAUUACAAAGAGAGCUGGAAAAGGCAAUAAGGAUAAUUACACAAUUGUAAUGGGGGACUUCAAUAUGAAAGAAGAUUGGGAAAAUCAGGUUGUUGUUGGAUUGCAAGGGAGGGAAUUUGUUGAAUGCCUACAAGAUGGCUUUUUAGAGCAGCUUGUGCUUGGAACUACUCAGAGGAAGACUAAUAGAUUCGGUGAUGUAUCUUAUUAGGGAGCUUAAUAUAAAGAAACCCUUAGGAAGCAGUGAACAUAAUAUGAUUGAAUUCAUACUGCAAUUUGUGAGGGAGAAGCAUAAAUCACAUGUAUCAGUAUCACAAUGAAACAAAGGGAAUUACAGAGGCAUGAGAGAGGAGCUUGCCCACGUGGAGUGGAGGAGGAUACGAGUAGGGAUGACGGCAGAGCAGAGAUGGCUGAAGUUUCUGGGAAUAGUUGACAAGGCAUAGGACAGAGAAGUUCUCAAAUGGCAGGGCUAGGUGACUGUGGCUGAAAAAGGAAGUUAAAGACUACAUAAAAGCCAAGGAAAGGGCAUAUCAGGUAGCAAAAGUGAGUGGGAAGUUGGAUCUGGAAUCUUUUGGGAAUCUUUCAAAAUCCGACAAAAGGCAACUAAAAAAGCUAUAAGAAGGGAAAAGAUGAAAUAUAAGGACAGAUUAGCCAAAAAUAUAAAGUUAAAGUCUGUCCCGAGCCUUGUGGCCCAUCAGGCCAGUGCUUAUGCUGGUUUCUAUGGCGUGAAGCGACUGAGAGUACGAGACUACACCCCCGGAUAGGACGCCAGUCUAUCGUGAGGUUAACCCCCAGCAUUUGCCGGUACCCAUUUUCAGCUGGGUGGACUGGAGCAGUGUGUGGUUAAGUGCCUCGCUCAAAGACACAACACACUGCCCUGGCCGAGGCUGGAACCCACGACCUUCAGAUCGUGAGCCCAACGCCCUAAUCACUUGGCCACACGCCACACCAAUAAUAUAAAGCAGGAUACUAAAAGUUUUUUCAGGUUUAUAAAGAGUAAAAGAGAGGCAAGAGUUGAUACUGGAGCACUGGAAAGUGAUGCUGGUGACGUAUGAUAAUGCAUUUUGGUAAAAGAAACAAUAGUGCGGACUAUUAUCUAAAUGGGGAGAAAAGGCAAACAUCAGAGGGACUUAGGAGUCCUCGUGCAAGACUCCCAGAAGUUUAAUUUACAGGUUGAGUCUGUGGUAAGGAAGGCAAUGUUGGGUUUUAUUUCAAGGGGAAUAUAAUAUAAAAGCAAGGAGAUAAUGCUGAGGCUUUAUAAGACACUAGUCAGACCACACUUGGAGUAUUGUCAACAGUUUUGGGCCCCAUUUCUCGAAAAGGAUGUAUUGUCAUUGAAGAGAGUCCAGAGGAGGUUCAUGAGGAUAAUUCUGGGAAGGAAGGGGUUAAUUUAUGAGGCCCUUUUGGCAGCUUUGGGCCUGUACUCACUGGAAUUUAGAGGAGUAAUUGGGGAUCUCAUUGAAACCUACCGAAUGUUGGAAGGACUAGAGAGGAUGGAUGUGGAGAGGAUUUUUCCUGUGGUGGGGGUGUCUAGAACUGGAGGCACAGCUUAAAAAUGAAGGGUGACCUUUUAGAAUAGAGGUAAGGAUGAAUUGUUUUAGACAGGGGUCGGUGAAUGUUCUGCCACAGACUGCAGUGGAGGGCAAGUCAGUGGGUGUAUUUAAGGUAGAAGUUGAUAAUUUAUUGAUCAUCAGGGCAUCGAAGGAUAUGGUGAGAAGGCAGGUGUAUGGGGUUGAGUGGGAUCUGGGAUCAGCCAUGAUGGAAUGGCGAAGCAGACUCGAUGGGCUGAAGGCCUAAUUCUGCACCCAUAUCUUAUGGUCUGAUGGUAUGUAUAGAAUGCCUUGGGGUUCACCUUAAUCCUUUUUGCGAAGGACUUUUCAUGGCCUUUCCUGGCUUUCCUAUUUCCCUUCUUUAGUUCUUUUAAAGAUUUAAAGUCUUUGUGUGCUUUGUUUGAUCCUUACUUCUGAAAUUUUACAUAAUUUUCCUUUUUCCUUUUGACUAAAUUCAUCACCUACCUGGACAUCCAAGGUUCUCUCAUCUUUCCAUCAUUGUCCUUCACUCUUACAUGAACAUACCUUUCCUGUACUCUGUGCAAUUGAACUUUAAACACUCUCCUCAUGUCUGAUGUGGACUUGCUGGAGAAAGGCUGUUCCCAAUUAACUCUUCUUAGAUCCUGCCUAAUGCCCUCGUGAUUUGCCCUACUCCAAUUUAAAACCCUCCCACAGGGACCAUGCCUAUCCUUAUCUAGAGCUAUCCUGAAAGUUCAGGAGUUAUUGUCACAGUUCCCUAGCUGUUCACCCAUUGAAAGGUCAGUGAAGAAGCUGUUCCUGAAUCGUAGCGAGUAUGUCUUCAGGCUCCUGUAUCUCCUCCCUGAUGGUAGCAAUGAAAAGCGGAUAAUGGGGGUACUUAAUGAUGGAUGCUGCCAUUUUGAGGCAUCACACCUUGAAGAUGUGCUGGAUGCUACGAAGGCUAGUGUGCAUGAUGGAGAUGACUGAUUUCACAACUUUCUGCAGCUUCUUUUGAUCCUCUGCAGUAGCCUCACUCCCCAUACCAGACGGUUAUACAGCCAGUUAGAAUGCUCUCCACAGUAACUCUGCAGAAAUUUGCACAUGUCUUUGGUGACAAGCUCCUAAUGAAAUAUAGCUGCUGUCGUGCCUUCUUUGUAGCUGCAUUAAUAUGUUGGGCCCAGGAUAGAUCAUAAGACCAUAAGAUAUAGGAGUGGAAUUAGGCUACUUGUCCAUUGAGCCUGUUCCACAAUUUUGUCAAGGUUGAUCCAUUUUCCCCCUCAACCCCAAUCUCCUGCCUUCUCCCCGUAUCUCUUCAUGCCCUGAUUAAUGAAGGAUCUAUCAAUCGCUACAUAAAGACUUGGCCUCCACAGCUGCCAGUGGCAAGGAAUUCCACAAAUUCAUCAUUCACUGGCUAAAGAAAUUUCUCCUUAUUUCCAUUCCAAAAGGACAUCCCUCUGUCCUGAGGUUGUGUCCUCUGGUCUUAAACUCCCCCACUGUAGGAGACAUCCUCUCCAAAUCCACUCUGUCGAGGCCUUUCACCAUUCAAUAGGUUUCAAUGAGGCCAACCCUCAUUUUUCUGAAUUCCAGUGAGUAGAGACCCAGAGCCAACAAACACUCCUCAUAUGACAAGCCUUUCAAUCCUGGAAUCAUUUUUGUAAACCUCUUUUGAACCUGCUUCAAUGUCAGCACAUUCUUACUUAGAUAAGAGGCCCAAAACUGCUCACAAUUCUACAAGUGAGGCUUCACCAGUGCCUUACAAAUUCUCAACAUUACUUCCAGCUUUAAUAUCCUAGUCCUCCUGAAAAGAAUGUUAACAUUGCAUUUGCCUUCCUCACCACUGACUCAACCUGCAAAUUAACCUCCAGGAAAUUCUGCACAAGGACUCCCAAGUCCCUUUGUGCCUCAGAAUUUUGAAUUUUCUCACCAUUUAGAAAAUAGUCUACCCUUCUUUAUCUUCUACCGAAGUGUAUGGCCAUACACUUCUGACACUGCAUUCCAUCUGCCAAUUCUUUGCCCAUUCUCUUAAUCUGUAUAAGUCCUUCUGUAGCCUCUCGACUUCCUUAAAUCUACCUGCUGCCCCACCCCUCUUCGUAACAUCUACAAACCUGGCCACAAGGCCAUCAAUUAGGUCAUCCAAAUACUUGACAUAAAAUGUAAAAUUAAUCGAUCAGAAUCAGAAUCCGGUUUAUUAUCACCGGCAUGUGAUUUGAAAUUUGUUAUCUUAGCAACAGUUCAAUGCAAUUCAUAAUAUAGAGGAAGAAAGAAAAACAUAAUAAAAUAAUAAUAAAUAAAUUACAGUAUACAUAUUGUUACAUGCUCAAGGAGAUGUGUUUUUUUUUGUGAGAAUGAUGUAAUGGUCUUUUGGCGGUCACCUGAUGUGAUUUUCCCGCCAAUGUGAGGUCAUGUGAUGACAUGUGACCCAUGACUAUAUAAGGGUCGACCCAGGUGAUGCAGGGUUUUUGAGUUUGUAGAUUUCCAGGUAGAACAUGUUGUACCUCCGUUUCUGUUGCGUGUUUGUUUUUGUGACACAGUUUCAUUUUUAAAAUGGAGUGUGCGUUCUGUUGCAAAAUACCAUAUUAUUUGGACUGGAAAUUUUUGCUAGAUGCGUUGAUUUACUCAAUUCCAACAUUAGAAAGGAGAGUGAAGAAUUUAUCGAAGUUACAGGAUCGAAGGAUUGAGAGGAGUCGGCAUCGUUUGGCAGAUUAAUAAAGGAUCGACCUUAUUGAGUCUUCGUUGGAGUAGCAACUUGCAUUGAGAUAACUCUUGCCAAAAAGAGCAAGAAGUUCAUGCAAAAAGAUGCUCUCUCUCUCUCUCUCUCUCUCUAAAGGAAUUUAAGGUCAGUUGAUUUAAACUGUUGAUUUUCGGCAUCGUGAAUCCUGUGGACAGAACCAGCAGGAAAGUUGCGUCUGUGAAGAAAUCCUUCUCCAGAGAAGUCUCUCCCAAUUGAAUGUGGAAAUCUGUUGGACUUCCGAAGUUAUCACUUUAAGAACUAUAUUUGACUUUAUCGCUUAAAGAACCGUUUUCGCAUUUAACGCUUUAAGAACAAGUGCCAAGUGGCGAGUUGGUGAACGGCUGCAUAUCUAUUAA
Mobula hypostoma (lesser devil ray) is the source of this 9533-nucleotide long non-coding RNA. RefSeq lists it as uncharacterized. The record is from RefSeq and is a predicted model, not a curated record. NCBI's taxonomy places the organism in Eukaryota, Metazoa, Chordata, Chondrichthyes, Myliobatiformes, Myliobatidae. The transcript is spliced from 3 exons.